This is a long non-coding RNA of Gallus gallus (chicken), 2347 nucleotides long. The record is from Ensembl. NCBI's taxonomy places the organism in Eukaryota, Metazoa, Chordata, Aves, Galliformes, Phasianidae.
GGACGUGCAAUGCUGCCAGUGCUGCCCAGGCACAGGGAUGACUCUGCUGCCCUCCUUCCUGCGGGAAGGCUGCAAGACUGCAGGAUCAGCCCUGUCUCAGGCACAACAGCAUCAGAGCAGAGAGCAUUGCAGCCCUUAGCUCCACUGUUCUGCAGAGAUGGCAUGUGGAUAACUGCAACGCUAGCCUCCAGCACCAGUGGGAUAUGCUGAACCUGGAAACAAUCGGCUGAGAGAGAAGAAACUUCUCUACAGCCAGUAAGACACGUGCCGUGCCCAGGUUUGUGUUUAAGCAGCUGGGAGCUGAGUGCCAGCCACCAAACCCAAGGCAACGCUAUGCAGGUUUCCUCUGCAAUAACAGCCUGACUUCAGCAUCUUCAGGGAUGCAGCUUUGGAGAAGAGCAGGCUGCAAAAGCAGGCUGGACCAGCAGAGCCUAUGCUGGAGCAGCUCCAUCCCUGUCUCUGCUGUGGGCUAAGAGCUGCAGCACGCCGAGCCCUGGGGCAGCUGUGAUGUCCAUUCCACCCGGGGGUUUGUGGCACGGUGCAGCAUCGCUGUGGUGGAAGAGCAGUGGAUCCUGAGGAGAGGAGCCCAGCAGGGAUGCUCAGUGCCACACGGGGCCACCAGCACAGCCGGGAGCCCAGGGGACAGUCCCGCGGUGCUUCAUUUAAUGUAUCACAGAAUCACUCAGGUUGGAGAAAACACGAAGAUCUUCUAGUCCAACCGUCAGCCCAUCACCCACGGAGGUGACAAGGAGAACACGCCAUCGCGUGGGGUUGGCGAGCUCCCGGGGAACCCCGUGCUGUAACCAGGAGGACUCCACUCACCGCUGCCUCCCGCCCCGCGCCGCUCAGCCCUUAAAGCAUCUCCCCAUCCGCAAACACAGCGGCUGAAACCCGAGCACGAAGGCGGGCGGGGGCGCGGGGUGGCUCCGGCCCUGGCGCCGCUCAUUGGCUCCGCUCCGCGUCCCGCGUUGGCCUUUGGCAGUCCGAGGGCACACAGCCCGCGUCCCCCCCUGACCGCUGCCCUAAUGACACGGCUCGCCCUCCCAAAGGGCAUGUGCAAGCUUCUCCUUGUUAUACUUUACCUAGGCUCUGUUAUCCCCGGGGCUGACGCUGGCGUGGGAGCGGGGUUGGGGUCAGCACGCUCAGCCCCAUAGAGGGAAGGCUUGCGGGACUCCUCCUCUUGCAACGGCCUCAGCUGCCUGCCCCUCUUUGAGGAACGUCAGGAAAUUUCUGGUGCCUGAGAUUAUGAGGGGUGGAGAGAGCAAAAACCAGCUUGUCAGGCACGGCUGGCCGUAUCACGGGACAGAGAGCGUCAUUGCUUGGGGACGUUGGCUCCUUCGGGGCUGGGGCUGGAGGGCAGCGGUUGGAGGAGGGCCUAUCUGCCCUGGCAGAGGGCUGAGAGCUGCAAACCGUGGCCAACACGUCUUCAGUUAGAAGAACCAGCGGGCCUUGAGCUCUGCCAGCCCUCCUGCUUGCAAAACUCAGGUUCUGAUUUAGAGGGAAGUCACAACCAAUUGAUAGUGAAACUGCACGUUGCUCUGCAAAGAACCAGAGAAGGGAGCGUGCACGCAGCGAGCGCUGCAUCCUCUUCACACCACCUGGGCAGGACACGCUCCAUCCCCACCUGAUCGACUUCUGAGGAGGCAGAACAAAGCAGAGAGACAUCUUGUCCUCCUUUGCCGACCCCUGGGGGCUCUCCAUUCUAUAGGGGAAAAGCAACAACCAGCACAGAGAAGUGCUGGGGCUGUGCAAAAGCCCAGAGCAGGCAGGAGCAGAGGGAGCAUCCAAGCACCACCACGCAGCCACGUCAACAGCUGUACUUCGUCCCCCAGGAUCCCAUUGGACCCCAGGGGCACAGCCAGCAGCACGUCCCCUCUGCAAGGCGUCCCCGUUGCGCUCCACCCGCGCUGUCCUCCACUCACCUCCUGGCACCAGGGCCUGUCCCCAGCUGGCCUUGCCCAGUUUUGCAGCCAAACGGAGCCCUGUGCAGAGGAGCGGUUGGGCGGUGUGGGCUGUGCUUGGCUUUGCUCUGCUCCUUGGGUGCUCGCAUGCCCAGCUGGGAGAGGUGUUUCUGAAACUCAGGGCUAUGUAGGCUGGAGUUUCGAGCCUUUUACAAAUGAUUCCCAUAGAUGGUUACUUCCCAUUUGAGCGCAGCUCGUAUAAAGGAAAUCACGAGAUACAUGAAGGAGAACCUCACUUGUCAUUCAACAGAUUCUUCUUGUAAGCCCACAUUCAAUGUGAGGCCCUCCAGCCCCACUUCUCCCCCAGCGAGGCAAACACCGCUGCUGGCGGCGCACCUCUCCCUGUACUGCAUGCAAAGGGGCAUUGGGGCUGCACUGCAGGAACC